ACCUCGCUGGCUCAGUCGGUAGAGCAUGUGACUCUUGAUCUCAGGGUUGUGAGUUCAAGCCCCACGCUGGGUG
This 73-nucleotide transfer RNA is filed under the name Ailuropoda melanoleuca (giant panda). It matches the Rfam family "tRNA". From Rfam's summary of the family: Transfer RNA (tRNA) molecules are approximately 80 nucleotides in length. Their secondary structure includes four short double-helical elements and three loops (D, anti-codon, and T loops). Lineage: Eukaryota; Metazoa; Chordata; Mammalia; Carnivora; Ursidae. The record is from Rfam by way of RNAcentral.